AAAACUCUAAUGUUAAAAAAAGUAGAAAAAUAUUUAAAACAAAUGUCAAAUUAGUGACAUUUAUAUACAAAAAUCAAGGUAAAUUGAAAAAUACUAAGCCCCAAAUAAAAAUAAAAGGGCUGAGGAUAAAAUGCAGUGUUAAAGUACUUGUGAAAUAUGCAAUAUGUCCCUUGGUUUCAUCCCCAGCACCCCCUCAACACAAACACACGCAAAAGGAAAGAAAGAAAUAAAAAAGAAGAACUAGGAAAAUAAUUUUAAAUUGUCCAAAGAGUUAAUAUAAAUGGAUACCAAUAUGAAUAAGAAAACCAUGCUUAAUUUAAAAAAUAACACUGUAUUUAUAAAAACUGAAAUACCUCCCCAAAACAAAACAAAAAUAACAAAAACAUACAAGCAAACACUUCUAAAGCAAAACUUUGGACCUAAUCUUGUACUACAGAUAGGUUUAUGAAAAAUGUUUGUCUUUAGCAAAUGUGUGUAAAAUGCACACAGCGAGCCCCCAAAUAAAUUAUCCCUAGUUGGAAAUUUGAUUUCUAUUGAAAUAAACAUAAAAAAUUGUAUAGAUUAAUAAGCUAAUAUAAUCAAAGCUAGCAUAUUCAUAGAACUAAAAUCUCCUACAAAAUGUUGUAACUAAAUUCAUUUCUUGAUAAAAAAUCAAUUAUCUUAUUGUGAGUGAGUUCUCCUGAGACUUUAUUCUGCUCUCCACCUCUUAGCCCCAGUUCACCUCCUUUGACUUCUCAGCCUCCACUUAUUGUACCUUCUCAAUCCUUCCCUAGAUAUGUAUAAAAUAAAUAGUGGCACAUACAACUCAUAAUUCCUCAAAAAAAUUAUCUCUGAGGAAGUCAAUUUAGAAUCAGCUCUGCCUUUUGGCAAGUGUUGGUAAGGACCACUCACUCUGUAAGCUUAGCCAUCUUGUAGUAUCAUUUGUUAUUUUCUAUUGAGCUCUCCUCAAGUUUCUUAAUCCCUUAUGACUAGAAACUAAGCAUUGCAACCAUGUCUCCUGCAUUUCAAACCAUGCUAGCACAUUUUAAGACUCUAUAGAUAUUGUUAAAUCCAGCAGAAUGCAAUCUCAACUUCCAUUGAUCUUUUCUGUUACUCUAAUUUGGCAGUGUAUUUUGCUUAAUUUUUGGCAGUAUAUUUUCCCAUAAGUCAGUAUUGGAAAAAAAAAAAAGAUCUGCAAAAUAAUUUGAACAUAUAAUGUGGUACUAUGUCUUCAAUAAUUCACAUCCUGAAGAGUGUAAACAUGCAUGCUCCCCAAACCAUGUUCUGAUUCUUUGUGCUGAAAAAUAAUGAAACACACUCUAUGCAUUAUUUAAUCAACCCAUACAUCAUGCUCAUUUUUAGCUGUCUCCAACAAAAGGCCCUGUUUUAAAUACUCAUCAAAAUAAUAUACACUAGUAGUUUUUAAAAAUUCAACUUCAGCUCCAAUUACUUCAUAAAUUCAGAGGUUUAACUGGAAAGAGCACACAAUUCCACUAGGAUUAGUGGUAAUCUCUGGGAGAGCAGAGAGCAUGUCUAAGUAGUACUGUAGUCUUAGCAGUUCACAGGGACAUUAUGGAAGAGCGCCCUGGAGAACAUGAAUGACAGUCAAUUGCAUUCAAGGGACAGUUGGAAUAUUUGUAACCAUUAUUAAACUAUUUUCUCCACAAUCUUCAUGUAUGCUUGCCUAUAAGUCAAUAAAUAUAUUCAUAUAAUGGGUAAAAUCUGCCUGAAAAAAGCCCACAUAACUUACUUCUCAUUAUACAUGCAAAAUUUUACAUAUACAAGACUUCAAAUAACUUUUUAAUCACUGAAUGAAAAAAAAAGAAACAAAACU
This 1813-nucleotide long non-coding RNA is filed under the name Marmota monax (woodchuck). The record is from RNAcentral. Lineage: Eukaryota; Metazoa; Chordata; Mammalia; Rodentia; Sciuridae.